Molecule: small RNA, 283 nt
Filed under: Marinomonas mediterranea MMB-1
Lineage: Bacteria; Pseudomonadati; Pseudomonadota; Gammaproteobacteria; Oceanospirillales; Oceanospirillaceae
Description: 5' ureB small RNA
Rfam family: 5' ureB small RNA
Source: Rfam by way of RNAcentral
CUUCUUCAAUUUGUUGCGGACAAAUAAAGUGGAUGUGAGCAUCGAUGCCGCCUGCGGUUAAUAUCGAGCCUUCCCCUGCAAUGACUUCAGUACCCGGACCAACGACAAUAUCGACGUUGUCCUGUACAUCUGGGUUGCCCGCUUUGCCGACUUUAAAAAUACGUCCGUCUUUGACGCCGACAUCCCCUUUGACGAUGCCCCAAUGAUCCAUCACCAGCGCAUUGGUAAUCACAAGGUCGACGGCGACAUCAUUGGUCAAUUGGCUUUGCCCCAUUCCAUCACG